Molecule: ribosomal RNA, 763 nt
Filed under: uncultured bacterium
Lineage: Bacteria
Description: bacterial SSU rRNA
Rfam family: Bacterial small subunit ribosomal RNA
Source: RNAcentral
ACAUGCAAGUCGAACGGUAGCACAGAGGAGCUUGCUCCUUGGGUGACGAGUGGCGGACGGGUGAGUAAUGUCUGGGAAACUACCCGAUGGAGGGGGAUAACUACUGGAAACGGUAGCUAAUACCGCAUAACGUCGCAAGACCAAAGAGGGGGACCUUCGGGCCUCUUGCCAUCGGAUGUGCCCAGAUGGGAUUAGCUAGUAGGUGGGGUAACGGCUCACCUAGGCGACGAUCCCUAGCUGGUCUGAGAGGAUGACCAGCCACACUGGAACUGAGACACGGUCCAGACUCCUACGGGAGGCAGCAGUGGGGAAUAUUGCACAAUGGGCGCAAGCCUGAUGCAGCCAUGCCGCGUGUAUGAAGAAGGCCUUCGGGUUGUAAAGUACUUUCAGCGAGGAGGAAGGCGUUGUGGUUAAUAACCGCAACGAUUGACGUUACUCGCAGAAGAAGCACCGGCUAACUCCGUGCCAGCGGCCGCGGUAAUACGGAGGGUGCAAGCGUUAAUCGGAAUUACUGGGCGUAAAGCGCACGCAGGCGGUCUGUCAAGUCGGAUGUGAAAUCCCCGGGCUCAACCUGGGAACUGCAUCCGAAACUGGCAGGCUAGAGUCUUGUAGAGGGGGGUAGAAUUCCAGGUGUAGCGGUGAAAUGCGUAGAGAUCUGGAGGAAUACCGGUGGCGAAAGGCGGCCCCCUGGACAAAGACUGACGCUCAGGUGCGAAGCGUGGGGAGCAAACAGGAUUAGAUACCCUGGUAGUCCACGCCGUAA